CGGAGGGACAUUACACAAAUAUGAAGGCGGGCUGGAACCUCUCGGGGUUACAGCCUUGCUGAAUUAUUCACCCUUGUCUUUUGCGUACUUCUUGUUUCCUUGGUGGGUUCGCCCACCACUAGGACAAACAUAAACCUUUUGUAAUUGCAAUCAGCGUCAGUAACAAAUUAAUAAUUACAACUUUCAACAACGGAUCUCUUGGUUCUGGCAUCGAUGAAGAACGCAGCGAAAUGCGAUAAGUAGUGUGAAUUGCAGAAUUCAGUGAAUCAUCGAAUCUUUGAACGCACAUUGCGCCCUUUGGUAUUCCAAAGGGCAUGCCUGUUCGAGCGUCAUUUGUACCCUCAAGCUUUGCUUGGUGUUGGGCGUCUUGUCUCUAGCUUUGCUGGAGACUCGCCUUAAAGUAAUUGGCAGCCGGCCUACUGGUUUCGGAGCGCAGCACAAGUCGCACUCUCUAUCAGCAAAGGUCUAGCAUCCAUUAAGCCUUUUUUUCAACUUUUGACCUCGGAUCAGGUAGGGAUACCCGCUGAACUUAAGCAUAUCAA
RNAcentral lists this ribosomal RNA (542 nucleotides) under Ustilago tritici. RNAcentral describes it as "eukaryotic LSU rRNA". The stretch from base 179 to 332 matches the Rfam family "5.8S ribosomal RNA". The record is from RNAcentral. Lineage: Eukaryota; Fungi; Basidiomycota; Ustilaginomycetes; Ustilaginales; Ustilaginaceae.